Molecule: small nuclear RNA, 220 nt
Filed under: Cercocebus atys (sooty mangabey)
Lineage: Eukaryota; Metazoa; Chordata; Mammalia; Primates; Cercopithecidae
Description: 7SK RNA (ENSCATG00000020406.1)
Rfam family: 7SK RNA (bases 1-182)
About the family: 7SK was discovered as an abundant small nuclear RNA in the mid-70s but a possible function has only recently been suggested.
Source: RNAcentral
GGUUGCAAGGUCAAUCUCAUGAUGACACUGGUCUUCCCCAUUGAUUCUGGGGUUUAUCAGACUGAUCUGGCUGGAUGGGCAAGUGUCUCUUUUCUCCCUCUCUGCUUUACAUGCACACUUAAUAGAAGAGGACAACCUUCCCUGAGAGAAGUGUCCUGUUCUUUUUUUCAAGGGUAAAGGCAACAUCUUGAAUCAAAAAAGAUUUAUCAUGUGAAUUGAU